AUUGAACGCUAGCGGGAUGCUUUACACAUGCAAGUCGAACGAGUGGCGGACGGGUGAGUAAUAUAUCGGAACGUGCCUGAUGGAGGGGGAUAACUACUGGAAACGGUAGCUAAUACCGCAUACCAUCGGAUGUGCCCAGAUGGGAUUAGCUUGUUGGUGGGGUAACGGCUCACCAAGGCGACGAUCCCUAGCUGGUCUGAGAGGAUGACCAGCCACACUGGAACUGAGACACGGUCCAGACUCCUACGGGAGGCAGCAGUGGGGAAUUUUGGACAAUGGGGGAAACCCUGAUCCAGCCAUCCCGCGUGUAUGAUGAAGGCCUUCGGGUUGUAAAGUACUUUUGGCAGAGAAGCGGUAUCUGCAGAAUAAGCACCGGCUAACUACGUGCCAGCAGCCGCGGUAAUAC
This 406-nucleotide ribosomal RNA is filed under the name uncultured bacterium. RNAcentral describes it as "partial 16S ribosomal RNA". It matches the Rfam family "Bacterial small subunit ribosomal RNA", at positions 30 to 526 of the family's 1533-position model. The record is from RNAcentral.